This 447-nucleotide ribosomal RNA is filed under the name uncultured bacterium. RNAcentral describes it as "bacterial SSU rRNA". It matches the Rfam family "Bacterial small subunit ribosomal RNA", at positions 329 to 792 of the family's 1533-position model. The record is from RNAcentral.
UACCAGACUCCUACGGGAGGCAGCAGUGGGGAAUAUUGCACAAUGGGGGAAACCCUGAUGCAGCAACGCCGCGUGGGUGAAGGAGCGUUUCGGCGCGUAAAGCCCUGUCAGCGGGGAAGAAGAAAGACGGUACCCGACCAAGAAGCCCCGGCUAACUACGUGCCAGCAGCCGCGGUAAUACGUAGGGGGCGAGCGUUAUCCGGAAUUACUGGGUGUAAAGCGCUCGUAGGCGGUAUGUCAAGUCAAGGGUGAAAUCCCCGCGCUCAACGUGGGAACUGCCUUUGAAACUGGCAAACUGGAGUGUGUGAGAGGAUAGUGGAAUUCCAGGUGUAGGAGUGAAAUCCGUAGAUAUCUGGAGGAACAUCAGUGGCGAAGGCGACUAUCUGGCACAUAACUGACGCUGAGGAGCGAAAGCGUGGGUAGCAAACAGGAUUAGAUACCCCGGUA